GCACUAUAUAAAGCCCGCUGACUCGGAAGUGAUCUAAUGAGUGUGUCGCUGUUGGGUGAGUGAGUGAGAGAGAGUGUGCGCGCGAUUGUGUGCUUGUUGUAUGUUUGUUGUAUGUUUGUUGUGAGUUUGUUGAAUGAUUGUGUUUUGUUUAUGUUACUAUAUAAAUCUACACCGUGAUCUUAUUUGAUCUGGUCCGUGUUAGCUCUGCGCGGAUACAGAGAUGAUAAUAACCGAGCCGUGAGUCCGCUGUGACGCUGAGCGCGGAGCUUUUAUAUCCACAGAGCGUCCACACUACAGCUGUGGUCAGAAAUGAUGAAUCGAUCAGAUAUACUAGCACUGCUGGGAUUUGUCCCUCUGUGGUCUAUGAGUAUACCGGCGAUUCUGAUCUAU
Molecule: non-coding RNA, 390 nt
Organism: Trichomycterus rosablanca
Lineage: Eukaryota; Metazoa; Chordata; Actinopteri; Siluriformes; Trichomycteridae
Product: small Cajal body-specific RNA 2
Exons: 1
Source: RefSeq, a predicted model, not a curated record